Molecule: ribosomal RNA, 468 nt
Filed under: uncultured bacterium
Lineage: Bacteria
Description: partial 16S ribosomal RNA
Rfam family: Bacterial small subunit ribosomal RNA
Source: RNAcentral
GACGAACGCUGGCGGCGUGCUUAACACAUGCAAGUCGAACGGAAAGGCCCUGCUUUUGUGGGGUGCUCGAGUGGCGAACGGGUGAGUAACACGUGAGUAACCUGCCCUUGACUUUGGGAUAACUUCAGGAGACUGGGGCUAAUACCGGAUAGGAGCUCCUGCUGCAUGGUGGGGGUUGGAAAGUUUCGGCGGUUGGGGAUGGACUCGCGGCUUAUCAGCUUGAUGGUGGGGUAGUGGCUUACCAAGGCUUUGACGGGUAGCCGGCCUGAGAGGGUGACCGGCCACAUUGGGACUGAGAUACGGCCCAGACUCCUACGGGAGGCAGCAGGGGGGAAUAUUGCACAAUGGGCGGAAGCCUGAUGCAGCAACGCCGCGUGCGGGAUGACGGCCUUCGGGUUGUAAACCGCUUUCGCCUGUGACGAAGCGUGAGUGACGGUAAUGGGUAAAGAAGCACCGGCUAACUACGUG